This 429-nucleotide long non-coding RNA is filed under the name Medicago truncatula (barrel medic). RNAcentral's name for it is "long non-coding RNA (MTRU_LNC004439)". The record is from RNAcentral. Lineage: Eukaryota; Viridiplantae; Streptophyta; Magnoliopsida; Fabales; Fabaceae.
UUUAAUUUAUUUAUUUGUUUCUUCCUUGUGUUUAUGCAGAAUUUCCAGAACAUGAAAGUCUUGACAUUGGACAAGUGUGAAUAUUUAACCCAUAUACCUGAUGUCUCAGGUCUUCAAAAUUUGGAAAAGUUCUCGUUUGCAUAUUGUCGUAAAUUAAUUACAAUUCACAAUUCAAUUGGACACCUAAAUAAACUUGAAAGGUUAANGUCUUCAAAAUUUGGAAAAGUUCUCGUUUGCAUAUUGUCGUAAAUUAAUUACAAUUCACAAUUCAAUUGGACACCUAAAUAAACUUGAAAGGUUAAAUGCAUUUGAUUGCAGCAAACUCGAAAGUUUUCCACCUUUAGGGUUGGCAUCCCUUAAUGAAUUGAAUCUCUCUCAUUGUGGGAGUCUCAAGAGUUUUCCAAAAUUAUUAUGCAAGAUGACAAAUAU